GAUGAAGAACGUAGCGAAAUGCGAUAAGUAAUGUGAAUUGCAGAAUUCAGUGAAUCGUCGAAUCUUUGAACGCACCUUGCGCCCUUUGGCCAUUCCGAAGGGCAUGCCUGUUUGAGUAUCAUGAACACCUCAACUCUUCAUGGUUUUCCGUGAUGAGCUUGGACUUUGGGGGUCUUGCUGGCCUAUGGUCAGCUCCUCUAAAAUAAAUCAGCUUGCCAGUGUUUGGUGGGUAUCACAGGUGUGAUAACUAUCUACGCUUGUGGUUUUCCACCAGGUAACCUUCAGCAGUGGAGGUUCGCUGGAGCUCACAGAUGUGUCUCUCCUCAGUGAGGACAGCUCUUUGAAUGUUUGAUCUCAAAUCAGGUAGGACUACCCGCUGAACUUAAGCAUAUCAAUAAGCGGAGGA
RNAcentral lists this unclassified non-coding RNA (406 nucleotides) under soil metagenome. RNAcentral's name for it is "partial contains 5.8S ribosomal RNA, internal transcribed spacer 2, and large subunit ribosomal RNA". The stretch from base 1 to 121 matches the Rfam family "5.8S ribosomal RNA", at positions 35 to 154 of the family's 154-position model. The record is from RNAcentral.